CCUACGGGUGGCAGCAGUCGAGAAUCAUUCACAAUGGGGGAAACCCUGAUGGUGCGACGCCGCGUGGGGGAAUGAAGGUCUUCGGAUUGUAAACCCCUGUCAUGUGGGAGCAAAUUAAAAAGAUAGUACCACAAGAGGAAGAGACGGCGAACUCGGUCCCAGCAGCCGCGGUAAUACAGGGGUCUCAAGCGUUGUUCGGCAUCACUGGGCGUAAAGCGUGCGUAGGCUGUUUCGUAAGUCGUGUGUGAAAGGCGCGGGCUCAACCCGCGGACGGCACAUGAUACUGCGAGACUAGAGUAGUCGAGGGGGAACCGGAAUUCGCGGUGUAGCAGUGAAAUGCGUAGAUAUCGAGAGGAACACUCGUUGCGAAGGCGGGUUCCUGGACAUUAACUGACGCUGAGGCACGAAGGCCAGGGGAGCGAAAGGGAUUAGAUACCCGGGUAGUC
RNAcentral lists this ribosomal RNA (446 nucleotides) under uncultured bacterium. Its description in RNAcentral is "partial 16S ribosomal RNA". It matches the Rfam family "Bacterial small subunit ribosomal RNA", at positions 338 to 795 of the family's 1533-position model. The record is from RNAcentral.